Molecule: ribosomal RNA, 274 nt
Filed under: Dendrobaena veneta
Lineage: Eukaryota; Metazoa; Annelida; Clitellata; Crassiclitellata; Lumbricidae
Description: partial 12S ribosomal RNA
Rfam family: Bacterial small subunit ribosomal RNA
Source: RNAcentral
CGUCGUAAGCACACCUCUAAAAGUGUUUAAGUGUGCAAUCAUGAUCGCCUCAUAUACGUCAGGUCAAAGUGCAGCUAAUGAGGGGGAGGAAGAUGGGUUACAUUCUUAACAAAGACACGAAUAAUAACUCCAACAGUUAUUUGAAGGUGGACUUGAUUGUAAUUCUAUCUAACUAGCAUGAAAUUGAAUCUAAGACAUGCACACAUCGCCCGUCACUCUCACCUAAAGGCGAGAUAAGUCGUAACAAAGUAGGUGUAACGGAAGUUGCACCUGU